This 271-nucleotide unclassified non-coding RNA is filed under the name fungal sp. Its description in RNAcentral is "partial contains 5.8S ribosomal RNA, internal transcribed spacer 2, and large subunit ribosomal RNA". The record is from RNAcentral. Lineage: Eukaryota; Fungi.
CGCACAUUGCGCCCUUUGGUAUUCCGAGGGGCAUGCCUGUCUGAGCGUCAGUGAAUUAUCAUCAGAUACAAUAUAUUGUGUACAGAUGUAUUGUGUACUGAUGGAAGUGAGUGUGGGAAAUCAUUUCCCUCAUUUGAAAUGAAUCCAGGACUAUUGGUGUAAUAAGAAUUUGAGUAUUUUUUUCGCCUCACAUAGUCUAUAUCACACAUGUUCUCACAAACGAGACAAAAAUCUUGACCUCAGAUCAGGUAGGGUUACCCGCUGAACUUAA